This 497-nucleotide ribosomal RNA is filed under the name uncultured bacterium. RNAcentral describes it as "partial 16S ribosomal RNA". It matches the Rfam family "Bacterial small subunit ribosomal RNA", at positions 28 to 507 of the family's 1533-position model. The record is from RNAcentral.
GAUGAACGCUGGCGGCGUGCCUAAUACAUGCAAGUCGAGCGAACAGACGAGGAGCUUGCUCCUCUGACGUUAGCGGCGGACGGGUGAGUAACACGUGGAUAACCUACCUAUAAGACUGGGAUAACUUCGGGAAACCGGAGCUAAUACCGGAUAAUAUUUUGAACCGCAUGGUUCAAUAGUUAAAGACGGUCUUGCUGUCACUUAUAGAUGGAUCCGCGCGGCAUUAGCUAGUUGGUAAGGUAACGGCUUACCAAGGCAACGAUGCGUAGCCGACCUGAGAGGGUGAUCGGCAACACUGGAAGUGAGACACGGUCCAGAGUCCUACGGGAGGCAGCAGUAGGGAAUGUUCCGCAAUGGGCGAAAGCCUGACGGAGCAAGGCCGAGUGAGUGAUGAAGGUCUUCGGAUCGUAAAACUCUGUUAUUAGGGAAGAACAAAUGUGUAAGUAAAUAUGCACAUAUUGACGGUAACUAAUCAGAAAGCAACGGCUAACUACGUG